This 504-nucleotide ribosomal RNA is filed under the name uncultured marine eukaryote. Its description in RNAcentral is "bacterial SSU rRNA". It matches the Rfam family "Eukaryotic small subunit ribosomal RNA", at positions 619 to 1127 of the family's 1831-position model. The record is from RNAcentral.
UUAAAAAGCUCGUAGUUGGAUUUCUGCUUGAGAGGGACGGCAGGCGUCAUUGACGUUUAGUCUGACUUCUCGUGCAUCCUGCCACGAACCACGCUGCUCUUAAUUGAGUGGCGUCGGGGAUUGGCUCGUUUACUUUGAGAAAAAUAGAGUGUUCAAAGCAGGCUUACGCAUCUGAAUAAGUUAGCAUGGAAUAAUGAUAAAGGACUUUGGUUCUAUUUGUUGGUGUUCGGAACUGAAGUAAUGAUUGAUAGGGACAGUUGGGGGCAUCAGUAUUCCGAAGCGAGAGGUGAAAUUCUAGGACCUCCGGAAGACUAACCGCUGCGAAAGCGUUUGCCAAGGAUGUUCCCUUUGAUCAAGAACGAAAGUUGGGGGAUCGAAGACGAUCAGAUACCGUCGUAGUCUCAACUAUAAACUAUACCAGCUAGGGAUCGGCCGGCGUUAUUUCUAAGGGCCCGGUCGGCACCUUAUGAGAAAUCAAAGCAUUUGGGUUCCGGGGGGAGUAUG